UUUGUGUCAGCCCGCCGCGGUAAUACGGAGGAUGCGAGCGUUAUCCGGAUUUACUGGGUUUAAAGGGUGCGCAGGCGGUUGUUUAAGUCAGGGGUGAAAUUCCGGGGCUCAACCCUGGGACUGCCUUUGAUACUGAACAGCUAGAGUGAAGAUGGAGUGGGUGGAAUGUGUUGUGUAGCGGUGAAAUGCAUAGAUAUAACACAGAACACCGAUCGCGAAGGCAGCUCACUAAACUUCAACUGACGCUCAUGCACGAAAGCGUGGGGAUCAAACAGGAUUAGAUACCCUGGUAGUCCACGCCGUAAACGAUGAUCAGGAGCUGUUGGGCCGCAAAGGCUCAGUGGUUAAGCGAAAUUGAUAACUGUCCCACUCGUGAUCCCUUUUCCUA
This 388-nucleotide ribosomal RNA is filed under the name bacterium enrichment culture DGGE band 61_6_FGQ_Ac. RNAcentral's name for it is "bacterial SSU rRNA". It matches the Rfam family "Bacterial small subunit ribosomal RNA", at positions 502 to 873 of the family's 1533-position model. The record is from RNAcentral.